RNAcentral lists this ribosomal RNA (429 nucleotides) under uncultured bacterium. RNAcentral describes it as "bacterial SSU rRNA". It matches the Rfam family "Bacterial small subunit ribosomal RNA", at positions 355 to 775 of the family's 1533-position model. The record is from RNAcentral.
UGGGGAAUUUUGCGCAAUGGGCGAAAGCCUGACGCAGUAACGCCGCGUGGAGGAUGAAGGCCUUCGGGUUGUAAACUCCUGUCGGGAGGAACGACGGAGAAGGGGUGAUAAGCCCUUUUCUUCAGACGGUACCUCCAAAGGAAGCCCCGGCUAAUUCCGUGCCAGCAGCCGCGGUAAUACGGAAGGGGCUAGCGUUGUUCGGAAUCAUUGGGCGUAAAGGGCGCGUAGGUGGUUUUGUAUGUCUACCGUGAAAGCACACGGCUCAACCGUGUUACGUCGGUAGAAACUGCAGGACUUGAGGCUGGGAGGGGCUGGUGGAAUUCCCCGUGUAGCGGUGAAAUGCGUAGAGAUGGGGGAGAACACUCGUGGCGAAGGCGGCCAGCUAGACCAGUUCUGACACUGAGGCGCGAUAGCGUGGGGAGCAAACAG